CCUGCCGAAAGGCAGACUAAUACCGCAUAGUCUUCGAUGACGGCAUCAGAUUUGAAGUAAAGAUUUAUCGGUAAUGGAUGGGGAUGCGUCUGAUUAGCUUGUUGGCGGGGUAACGGCCCACCAAGGCGACGAUCAGUAGGGGUUCUGAGAGGAAGGUCCCCCACAUUGGAACUGAGACACGGUCCAAACUCCUACGGGAGGCAGCAGUC
This 209-nucleotide ribosomal RNA is filed under the name uncultured Prevotella sp. RNAcentral's name for it is "partial 16S ribosomal RNA". It matches the Rfam family "Bacterial small subunit ribosomal RNA", at positions 147 to 355 of the family's 1533-position model. Lineage: Bacteria; Pseudomonadati; Bacteroidota; Bacteroidia; Bacteroidales; Prevotellaceae. The record is from RNAcentral.